UGCAUAGGAAUCUGCCCAGUAGUGGGGGAUAACGUGGAGAAAUCCACGCUAAUACCGCAUGUGUCCUACGGGACAAAGCAGGGGACCUUCGGGCCUUGCGCUAUUGGAUGAGCCUAUGUCGGAUUAGCUUGUUGGUGAGGUAACGGCUCACCAAGGCAACGAUCCGUAGCUGGUCUGAGAGGAUGAUCAGCCACACUGGGACUGAGACACGGCCCAGACUCCUACGGGAGGCAGCAGUGGGGAAUAUUGCACAAUGGGCGCAAGCCUGAUGCAGCAAUGCCGCGUGUGUGAAGAAGGCCU
RNAcentral lists this ribosomal RNA (300 nucleotides) under uncultured Alcanivoracaceae bacterium. RNAcentral describes it as "bacterial SSU rRNA". It matches the Rfam family "Bacterial small subunit ribosomal RNA", at positions 114 to 417 of the family's 1533-position model. The record is from RNAcentral. Lineage: Bacteria; Pseudomonadati; Pseudomonadota; Gammaproteobacteria; Oceanospirillales; Alcanivoracaceae.